CCCCAGUAGCGGCGAGCGAACGGGGAGCAGCCCAGAGCCUGAAUCAGUGUGUGUGUUAGUGGAAGCGUCUGGAAAGGCGCGCGAUACAGGGUGACAGCCCCGUACACAAAAAUGCACAUGCUGUGAGCUCGAUGAGUAGGGCGGGACACGUGGUAUCCUGUCUGAAUAUGGGGGGACCAUCCUCCAAGGCUAAAUACUCCUGACUGACCGAUAGUGAACCAGUACCGUGAGGGAAAGGCGAAAAGAACCCCGGCGAGGGGAGUGAAAAAGAACCUGAAACCGUGUACGUACAAGCAGUGGGAGCACAGAGCAAUCUGUGUGACUGCGUACCUUUUGUAUAAUGGGUCAGCGACUUAUAUUCUGUAGCAAGGUUAACCGAAUAGGGGAGCCGAAGGGAAACCGAGUCUUAACUGGGCGUUAAGUUGCAGGGUAUAGACCCGAAACCCGGUGAUCUAGCCAUGGGCAGGUUGAAGGUUGGGUAACACUAACUGGAGGACCGAACCGACUAAUGUUGAAAAAUUAGCGGAUGACUUGUGGCUGGGGGUGAAAGGCCAAUCAAACCGGGAGAUAGCUGGUUCUCCCCGAAAGCUAUUUAGGUAGCGCCUCGUGAAUUCAUCUCCGGGGGUAGAGCACUGUUUCGGCAAGGGGGUCAUCCCGACUUACCAACCCGAUGCAAACUGCGAAUACCGGAGAAUGUUAUCACGGGAGACACACGGCGGGUGCUAACGUCCGUCGUGAAGAGGGAAACAACCCAGACCGCCAGCUAAGGUCCCAAAGUCAUGGUUAAGUGGGAAACGAUGUGGGAAGGCCCAGACAGCCAGGAUGUUGGCUUAGAAGCAGCCAUCAUUUAAAGAAAGCGUAAUAGCUCACUGGUCGAGUCGGCCUGCGCGGAAGAUGUAACGGGGCUAAACCAUGCACCGAAGCUGCGGCAGCGACGCUUAUGCGUUGUUGGGUAGGGGAGCGUUCUGUAAGCCUGCGAAGGUGUGCUGUGAGGCAUGCUGGAGGUAUCAGAAGUGCGAAUGCUGACAUAAGUAACGAUAAAGCGGGUGAAAAGCCCGCUCGCCGGAAGACCAAGGGUUCCUGUCCAACGUUAAUCGGGGCAGGGUGAGUCGACCCCUAACGGCGAGGCCGCAAGGCGUAGUCGAUGGGAAACAGGUUAAUAUUCCUGUACUUGGUGUUACUGCGAAGGGGGGACGGAGAAGGCUAUGUUGGCCGGGCGACGGUUGUCCCGGUUUAAGCGUGUAGGCUGGUUUUCCAGGCAAAUCCGGAAAAUCAAGGCUGAGGCGUGAUGACGAGGCACUACGGUGCUGAAGCAACAAAUGCCCUGCUUCCAGGAAAAGCCUCUAAGCAUCAGGUAACAUCAAAUCGUACCCCAAACCGACACAGGUGGUCAGGUAGAGAAUACCAAGGCGCUUGAGAGAACUCGGGUGAAGGAACUAGGCAAAAUGGUGCCGUAACUUCGGGAGAAGGCACGCUGAUAUGUAGGUGAAGUCCCUCGCGGAUGGAGCUGAAAUCAGUCGAAGAUACCAGCUGGCUGCAACUGUUUAUUAAAAACACAGCACUGUGCAAACACGAAAGUGGACGUAUACGGUGUGACGCCUGCCCGGUGCCGGAAGGUUAAUUGAUGGGGUCAGCGCAAGCGAAGCUCUUGAUCGAAGCCCCGGUAAACGGCGGCCGUAACUAUAACGGUCCUAAGGUAGCGAAAUUCCUUGUCGGGUAAGUUCCGACCUGCACGAAUGGCGUAAUGAUGGCCAGGCUGUCUCCACCCGAGACUCAGUGAAAUUGAACUCGCUGUGAAGAUGCAGUGUACCCGCGGCAAGACGGAAAGACCCCGUGAACCUUUACUAUAGCUUGACACUGAACAUUGAGCCUUGAUGUGUAGGAUAGGUGGGAGGCUUUGAAGUGUGGACGCCAGUCUGCAUGGAGCCGGCCUUGAAAUACCACCCUUUAAUGUUUGAUGUUCUAACGUUGACCCGUAAUCCGGGUUGCGGACAGUGUCUGGUGGGUAGUUUGACUGGGGCGGUCUCCUCCUAAAGAGUAACGGAGGAGCACGAAGGUUGGCUAAUCCUGGUCGGACAUCAGGAGGUUAGUGCAAUGGCAUAAGCCAGCUUGACUGCGAGCGUGACGGCGCGAGCAGGUGCGAAAGCAGGUCAUAGUGAUCCGGUGGUUCUGAAUGGAAGGGCCAUCGCUCAACGGAUAAAAGGUACUCCGGGGAUAACAGGCUGAUACCGCCCAAGAGUUCAUAUCGACGGCGGUGUUUGGCACCUCGAUGUCGGCUCAUCACAUCCUGGGGCUGAAGUAGGUCCCAAGGGUAUGGCUGUUCGCCAUUUAAAGUGGUACGCGAGCUGGGUUUAGAACGUCGUGAGACAGUUCGGUCCCUAUCUGCCGUGGGCGCUGGAGAACUGAGGGGGGCUGCUCCUAGUACGAGAGGACCGGAGUGGACGCAUCACUGGUGUUCGGGUUGUCAUGCCAAUGGCACUGCCCGGUAGCUAAAUGCGGAAGAGAUAAGUGCUGAAAGCAUCUAAGCACGAAACUUGCCCCGAGAUGAGUUCUCCCUGACUCCUUGAGAGUCCUGAAGGAACGUUGAAGACGACGACGUUGAUAGGCCGGGUGUGUAAGCGCAGCGAUGCGUUGAGCUAACCGGUACUAAUGAACCGUGAGGCUUAACCUU
Molecule: ribosomal RNA, 2671 nt
Filed under: Escherichia coli DEC11B
Lineage: Bacteria; Pseudomonadati; Pseudomonadota; Gammaproteobacteria; Enterobacterales; Enterobacteriaceae
Description: bacterial LSU rRNA
Rfam family: Bacterial large subunit ribosomal RNA
Source: RNAcentral